GCCCCUGUUGUCUAAUGGUUAUGACGUCAGACUUCUACGCUUGCGUAAGCGUGAUUACGUAAUCUGGAGGCUGCGGGUUCGAAUCCCGCCAGGGGUU
Non-coding RNA from Mycena leptocephala, 97 nucleotides. NCBI's taxonomy places the organism in Eukaryota, Fungi, Basidiomycota, Agaricomycetes, Agaricales, Mycenaceae. The record is from the annotation of a GenBank genome assembly.